Molecule: ribosomal RNA, 422 nt
Filed under: uncultured bacterium
Lineage: Bacteria
Description: SSU rRNA
Rfam family: Bacterial small subunit ribosomal RNA
Source: RNAcentral
CAAUGGGGGAAACCCUGAUGCAGCGACGCCGCGUGGAGGAAGAAGGUCUUCCGAUUGUAAACUCCUGUUGUUGGGGAAGAUAAUGACGGUACCCAACAAGGAAGUGACGGCUAACUACGUGCCAGCAGCCGCGGUAAAACGUAGGUCACAAGCGUUGUCCGGAAUUACUGGGUGUAAAGGGAGCGCAGGCGGGAAGACAAGUUGGAAGUGAAAUCUAUGGGCUCAACCCAUAAACUGCUUUCAAAACUGUUUUUCUUGAGUAGUGCAGAGGUAGGCGGAAUUCCCGGUGUAGCGGUGGAAUGCGUAGAUAUCGGGAGGAACACCAGUGGCGAAGGCGGCCUACUGGGCACCAACUGACGCUGAGGCUCGAAAGUGUGGGUAGCAAACAGGAUUAGAUACCCUGGUAGUCCAAGGGCGAAUUC